GACGAACGCUGGCGGCGUGCUUAACACAUGCAAGUCGAACGGAAAGGCCCUGCUUUUGUGGGGUGCUCGAGUGGCGAACGGGUGAGUAACACGUGAGUAACCUGCCCUUGACUUUGGGAUAACUUCAGGAAACUGGGGCUAAUACCGGAUAGGAGCUCCUGCUGCAUGGUGGGGGUUGGAAAGUUUCGGCGGUUGGGGAUGGACUCGCGGCUUAUCAGCUUGUUGGUGGGGUAGUGGCUUACCAAGGCUUUGACGGGUAGCCGGCCUGAGAGGGUGACCGGCCACAUUGGGACUGAGAUACGGCCCAGACUCGUACGGGAGGCAGGAGUGGGGAAUAUUGCACAAUGGCGGAAGCCUGAUGCAGCAACGCCGCGUGCGGGAUGACGGCCUUCGGGUUGUAAACCGCUUUCGCCUGUGACGAAGCGUGAGUGACGGUAAUGGGUAAAGAAGCACCGGCUAACUACGUG
Molecule: ribosomal RNA, 467 nt
Filed under: uncultured bacterium
Lineage: Bacteria
Description: partial 16S ribosomal RNA
Rfam family: Bacterial small subunit ribosomal RNA
Source: RNAcentral